This 184-nucleotide ribosomal RNA is filed under the name uncultured bacterium. RNAcentral describes it as "partial 16S ribosomal RNA". It matches the Rfam family "Bacterial small subunit ribosomal RNA", at positions 1319 to 1500 of the family's 1533-position model. The record is from RNAcentral.
UAUGAAGUUGGAAUCGCUAGUAAUCGCGGAUCAGCAUGCCGCGGUGAAUACGUUCCCGGGCCUUGUACACACCGCCCGUCACACCAUGAGAGUUGGCAAUACCCAACGUACGUGAUCUAACCCGCAAGGGAGGAAGCGUCCUAAGGUAGGGUCAGCGAUUGGGGUGAAGUCGUAACAAGGUAAC